GACGAACGCUGGCGGCGUGCUUAACACAUGCAAGUCGAACGGAAAGGCCCUGCUUUUGUGGGGUGCUCGAGUGGCGAACGGGUGAGUAACACGUGAGUAACCUGCCCCUGACUUUGGGAUAACUUCAGGAAACUGGGGCUAAUACCGGAUAGGAGCUCCUGCUGCAUGGUGGGGGUUGGAAAGUUUCGGCGGUUGGGGAUGGACUCGCGGCUUAUCAGCUUGUUGGUGGGGUAGUGGCUUACCAAGGCUUUGACGGGUAGCCGGCCUGAGAGGGUGACCGGCCACAUUGGGACUGAGGUACGGCCCAGACUCCUACGGGAGGCAGCAGUGGAGAAUAUUGCACAAUGGGCGGAAGCCUGAUGCAGCAACGCCGCGUGCGGGAUAACGGCCUUCGGGUUGUAAACCGAUUUCGCAUGUGACGAGGCGUGAGUGACGGUAAUGGGUAAAGAAGCACCGGCUAACUACGUG
This 468-nucleotide ribosomal RNA is filed under the name uncultured bacterium. RNAcentral's name for it is "partial 16S ribosomal RNA". It matches the Rfam family "Bacterial small subunit ribosomal RNA", at positions 28 to 507 of the family's 1533-position model. The record is from RNAcentral.